AGCAGGGUGAAGCUGGCAAAGGGUAUGGUGGGGUUGGAAGGGGAAUGGGCAGAACCUUCAGAGCCUGAGGGCUCCUGUCCAGGCCCCAGGGAGAAGCACUAGGAUGUCUGACUGAGGAGGCUGGGCUGGAGAACCAGUGGGACUGGCCAGCUCCUUUGGUUUGGGCUGGGCUGGCCCCUGACCUCUAUCCUCAGAAACUGACUUGGUCAUCUGUGGUAAGAAGUUCCCUCUUUUGCAGCAGAAAGAACCUUUCAAGAAAAGGUGGUUCGCCCUGGAUUGCCAUGAGCGGAGGCUGCUCUAUUACAAGAACCCACUGGAUGCCUUCGAGCAGGGCCAGGUUUUUCUUGGGAACAAGGAGCAGGGAUAUGAAGCCUAUGAAGACCUGCCCAAGGGCAUCCGAGGAAAUCGCUGGAAAGCCGGACUCACCAUUGUCACCCCAGAGCGGAGAUUUGUCCUCACUUGCCCCAAUGAGAAGGAACAGCAGGAAUGGCUGGAAAGUUUGCGGGGUGUCCUGUCCAGCCCCUUGACGCCCCUCAACCGGCUUAGUAAGAAGCAGGAACUGAGGGGUGUUCUUUUGGCCAAGGGCAGAGGACAGAAAAUUGCUUCUUCACUUAGGUUCAGCUUUGAUGCCACAAAAGAUUCCUGAUUCCUGAGUAUGCUCUUUUCGUUGUCUUCUCUUCCUGCAAAAGAAAAGCACAGACAUGCCAUUAUUGCCAAAAAGUCUCCUCUGUCCACUCUGGGUUCCCCUAACCGAGCCCUUCCCCAGGAGCUUUUAGAGGAGUUUGGCCCUGGCAGAACCCCUGG
Molecule: small RNA, 804 nt
Filed under: Pan troglodytes (chimpanzee)
Lineage: Eukaryota; Metazoa; Chordata; Mammalia; Primates; Hominidae
Description: retained intron
Source: RNAcentral